CACGAAGUUAGCCGGAGCUUCUUCUCCGGGUACCGUCAUUAUCGUCCCCGGUGAAAGAAUUUUACAAUCCUAAGACCUUCAUCAUUCACGCGGCAUGGCUGCGUCAGGCUUUCGCCCAUUGCGCAAGAUUCCCUACUGCUGCCUCCCGUAGGAGUCUGGGCCGUGUCUCAGUCCCAGUGUGGCUGAUCAUCCUCUCAGACCAGCUAUGGAUCGUAGCCUUGGUGAGCCAUUACCCCACCAACUAGCUAAUCCAACGCGGGCCGCUCCUAUGGCGAUAAAUCUUUCCGCCGUAGCGCUCAUGCGGUAUUAGCUGAAGUUUCCCUCAGUUGUUCCGCACCAUAGGGCACGUUCCCACGCGUUACUCACCCGUCCGCCGCUCCCCCGAAAGGGCGCUCGACUUGCAUGUAUUAGGCCUGCCGCCAGCGUUCGCUCUGAGCCAGGAUCAAACUCU
Molecule: ribosomal RNA, 451 nt
Filed under: uncultured Phenylobacterium sp.
Lineage: Bacteria; Pseudomonadati; Pseudomonadota; Alphaproteobacteria; Caulobacterales; Caulobacteraceae
Description: partial 16S ribosomal RNA
Source: RNAcentral